RNAcentral lists this transfer RNA (82 nucleotides) under Ketobacter alkanivorans. RNAcentral also lists the same sequence under 1 other name. The record is from RNAcentral. Lineage: Bacteria; Pseudomonadati; Pseudomonadota; Gammaproteobacteria; Pseudomonadales; Ketobacteraceae.
GGAGGGUACCGCCAAGGGGCAAAGCGGGUUUGAACCCCGUGGCAGGGACAACCUGGGUGUUCGAUUCAUCUACUCUCCGCCA